UACGGAGGGUGCGAGCGUUGUCCGGAAUCACUGGGCGUAAAGGGCGCGUAGGCGGCGCGAGUAGUCAACGGUGAAAGCCCGGGGCUCAACCCCGGGUCGGCCGUCGAUACUCUCGUGCUUGAGCACUGUAGAGGCAGGUGGAAUUCCGGGUGUAGCGGUGGAAUGCGUAGAGAUCCGGAAGAACACCGGUGGCGAAGGCGGCCUGCUGGGCAGUAGCUGACGCUGAGGAGCGAAAGCGUGGGGAGCGAACAGG
Molecule: ribosomal RNA, 253 nt
Filed under: uncultured bacterium
Lineage: Bacteria
Description: partial 16S ribosomal RNA
Rfam family: Bacterial small subunit ribosomal RNA
Source: RNAcentral